This 449-nucleotide ribosomal RNA is filed under the name uncultured bacterium. RNAcentral's name for it is "partial 16S ribosomal RNA". It matches the Rfam family "Bacterial small subunit ribosomal RNA", at positions 354 to 796 of the family's 1533-position model. The record is from RNAcentral.
GUGGGGAAUAUUGCGCAAUGGGCGAAAGCCUGACGCAGCGACGCCGCGUGAGGGAUGAAGGUUUUCGGAUCGUAAACCUCUGUCAGAAGGGAAGAAACUACGUUGUGCUAAUCAGCAGCGUACUGACGGUACCUUCAAAGGAAGCACCGGCUAACUCCGUGCCAGCAGCCGCGGUAAUACGGAGGGUGCAAGCGUUAAUCGGAAUUACUGGGCGUAAAGCGCACGUAGGCUGUAGUGUAAGUCAGGGGUGAAAUCCCACGGCUCAACCGUGGAACUGCCUUUGAUACUGCACAACUUGAAUCCGGGAGAGGGUGGCGGAAUUCCAUGUGUAGGAGUGAAAUCCGUAGAUAUCUGGAGGAACAUCAGUGGCGAAGGCGGCCACCUGGACCGAUACUGACACUGAGGUGCGAAAGCGUGGGUAGCGAACAGGAUUAGAAACCCUGUAGUCC